AGAAUUGAACUGAAGAGUUUGAUCCUGGCUCAGAUUGAACGCUGGCGGUAUGCUUAACACAUGCAAGUCGAACGGAAACGAUGGAAGCUUGCUUCCAGGCGUCGAGUGGCGGACGGGUGAGUAACGCGUAGGAAUCUGCCUGAUAGUGGGGGAUAGCCCG
Molecule: ribosomal RNA, 160 nt
Filed under: Candidatus Thioglobus pontius
Lineage: Bacteria; Pseudomonadati; Pseudomonadota; Gammaproteobacteria; Pseudothioglobaceae (SeqCode)
Description: partial 16S ribosomal RNA
Rfam family: Bacterial small subunit ribosomal RNA
Source: RNAcentral